This is a long non-coding RNA of Prionailurus viverrinus (fishing cat), 331 nucleotides long. RefSeq lists it as uncharacterized. The transcript has 4 exons. NCBI's taxonomy places the organism in Eukaryota, Metazoa, Chordata, Mammalia, Carnivora, Felidae. The record is from RefSeq and is a predicted model, not a curated record.
CUGACCACUUUUGCAGCCUUAACUUCCCCUCGGUGGUAGGGCCCCACCCGACUGAAAUACAGUGCGGAGACAGCAAGGACUUCAGACACAGAAUCCUUGCCUCGGUAGAGUGCAUGUUUAUGGGGAAGAGAAACAAAAACUCCUAAAUAAUCAGGCAAUCGAUGACAGGCUGUGAAGUGUGCUAUAAAGAAAAACAAACCUGGCAGCAGAAGUCCUGGGAUCCCUGAGAAUCCAGAGCAAGGGGUUGGAAGAACAUCAUCUGCCAUGCUGAAUGCAAGUCUUACUUCAUUUGCUAAGUAACAUGAAGACUUUGUAGAAACCUCUAUUGAUU